RNAcentral lists this ribosomal RNA (627 nucleotides) under uncultured Verrucomicrobiota bacterium. RNAcentral's name for it is "bacterial SSU rRNA". It matches the Rfam family "Bacterial small subunit ribosomal RNA", at positions 70 to 680 of the family's 1533-position model. The record is from RNAcentral. Lineage: Bacteria; Pseudomonadati; Verrucomicrobiota.
UCCGUUGUAGCAAUACGAUGGAAAGUCUAGUGGCGAACGGGUGCUUAACACGUGGGCAACCUGCCAUGAAGUGGGGGAUAGCUCGCCGAAAGGCGAAUUAAUACCGCAUGUGAUUAGAGAGGACAUCCUUUCGAAAUUAAAGUCGGGGCAACCUGACGCUUCUUGUGGGGCCCGCGGCCUAUCAGCUAGUUGGUGAGGUAACGGCUCACCAAGGCUUUGACGGGUAGCUGGUCUGAGAGGACGACCAGCCACACUGGGACUGAGACACGGCCCAGACACCUACGGGUGGCAGCAGUCGAGAAUUUUUGACAAUGGGGGAAACCCUGAUCGAGCGACGCCGCGUGGAGGAUGAAGGUCUUCGGAUUGUAAACUCCUGUCAUUGGGGAACAAUGCACAGAUAUUAACUGUAUUUGUGUCGAUAGUACCCGAAGAGGAAGAGACGGCUAACUCUGUGCCAGCAGCCGCGGUAAUACAGAGGUCUCAAGCGUUGUUCGGAUUCAUUGGGCGUAAAGGGUGCGUAGGCGGCGCGGUAAGUCGGGUGUGAAAUCUCGGAGCUUAACUCCGAAACUGCAUUCGAUACUGCCGUGCUUGAGGACUGGAGAGGAGACUGGAAUUCACGGUGUAGCA